This 20-nucleotide non-coding RNA is filed under the name Arabidopsis thaliana (thale cress). Lineage: Eukaryota; Viridiplantae; Streptophyta; Magnoliopsida; Brassicales; Brassicaceae. The record is from RNAcentral.
CAGGUGGAAGACAAGAUCGA